UCUGCGAUGGCCGAGUGGUUAAGGCGUUGGACUCGCAAUCCAAUUGGAUAUUCUCGCUCAGGUUCCAAUCCUGUUCGCAGCG
This is a non-coding RNA of Ciona savignyi (Pacific transparent sea squirt), 82 nucleotides long. The record is from Rfam. NCBI's taxonomy places the organism in Eukaryota, Metazoa, Chordata, Ascidiacea, Phlebobranchia, Cionidae.